This 715-nucleotide long non-coding RNA is filed under the name Brassica napus (rape). Its description in RNAcentral is "long non-coding RNA (BNAP_LNC017366)". Lineage: Eukaryota; Viridiplantae; Streptophyta; Magnoliopsida; Brassicales; Brassicaceae. The record is from RNAcentral.
CAAAACAAAAAACCUGAAUUCCCAUCAUUUAUCCAUGUUACAAUCAUUAAGUAAACUAACAACGAGAAACUAGAUAUUGGAAGAAGAAUUAAGGGAGGAAAGAAGACUCAUGAAAUCGUAGCUUCAUAAUCAAACAACACGCUUGUGAAGAGAGGCUGUUCUGAUGUUCCCUUCACAGAGACUGGUGUGUACGAUUUCGGUUUGUAGAUCUGUCGGCAAUUAACCAUCACGGCAAGCGACGAGACCCACUUUCGAAAGAGUCCCGCGGCCACCGACACCGAUUCCUAAUGGAAUAUUUGACUAUCAAGUUUUAGCUUCCGUCAACAAGGACCGCCGACUUAUGUUCACAAAAACCUAUAUAUACAUGCACAUUCCUUCAAAUCUGCCGGUUAAAAGGAAUUUCACUUUGGAGAAGAGUAGACGAGGGGAACCGCCAUCCCCAUAAAAUGUUCGGCUGCCGCAAGAAACCUCUAAAUCAUGGUGCAGACUUCUAAGCACUGACUGGUUGACUUGGGAAGUCCGACUGUCAUUCCACUGUCCUCUAUUAGAGAAAUCUAGCUCUAGUUUACGAACCACCAAAUUUUCGGAGUUAUCUGGAGAUCUAUUGCAUUAGUAGAUCUAACCGCUUCGCCGGAUAGAAAGAUGUGCCUCCAAAUGACCACCAGCCUUUCAUUUUUUAUCGAUGAUGCUCAAGUGCUGAAGUGGGGGAGAGAAU